Long non-coding RNA from Lolium rigidum, 1776 nucleotides. RefSeq lists it as uncharacterized. Lineage: Eukaryota; Viridiplantae; Streptophyta; Magnoliopsida; Poales; Poaceae. The record is from RefSeq and is a predicted model, not a curated record. The transcript has 7 exons.
GGUUAACCGCCACCGUAUUCGCGCGAGAGGCAAAUUACACGCCAAUAUUUUCAUCUCCGCGCCAACUCUAGACUGUUCCCGCCACGUCGCGCGAGAGGAAAAAAAAGAAAUGAGCAGAUAAGGCAAGCUCUAGAAAAUUUCCCCAUUCUUUGUCUUCUCCACAUCCUCAUCGCCGCCGCCCUCAGCCUAGCUCCUCGCCAUUGUUGGCCGCCGGCAUCCUCUGCAGCCUCCUCGUUCCAGCGCCGCCGGCCUCCCAUCUGUUCCGUCCUCCACCGCAUACUGCUACCAUAUCCCUGCGCGGACAGGUCCCAUCUCCGACCUAGAGCUCCGCCACUCAUGUAUCCCUGACCUCCACCACCGCCUGCUCGGCUGCUCCUAGGUCCGUCCGCGAGCCCCGCGACCACCGUCCCCACCUCCAUCCGCGAGCGCCGCCCCCUGCCUUCUCCUCCCACCUCCAUUCGUGGCCGGAAGUCUGUCCGAAUCCUAUCCGUCUGCAGCCGUCGCCCAACUCCACUCGGUCGACCUUGACAGCAACCGGCAAUUCCUCUUCCGUUUUUCAGCAGAUUCGUUUUUGGUGUGAAAAGGAAAGAGCAGGAUGGGUUGCCGGGUGGCUGCAUUCCAAACGAUUUGAGGAUAGCCUGGUUUGCAUUAUCUGUGAUAGAAAUUGGCUAGCUAGCUCAGAUUCAUUUUAGCUGAAAAUAUAAACCAUACUUGUCAGAAAACUAGGGCCAUUUGUUUGACCGUAUUGAUUAUUUUGUUUUCAUGACGCAAGAGAUAGCUUUGUUCUAUUUUGUAUCUUAAAGAUUUAGGAUCCCGGUUAAGUGUUGCGAUUAGGUGUUGAGUGUCGCCUAAGCGUGUGGAAGCGGGCAGAAGUGAAGAAAAGUGCAGUGCUGAGCAUCCAUGGUCACCGGCGGCAAAACGAAAAAUUGAGGGUAGGUGGGAGGGAAAAGUAGAAGAUAGGGUUUCCGCCCUAGAUCGAGGUCGCCGCCAUCCGUCCGCUGCGCCUCAGCCCUUAGGUACUGUCAAGAAACGGACAUUGAUCCGGGUGCGGGUGGGUUGGUGCCUGAGGUGCCAAUGGUAUUGACCGGCAACUCAAGCGAUGUUGGUUGGAAGUAUGGCAAAUAUUGUGAUCCAAUCAACAAGAGUAAGCUUGAUGUGCUGCAUGGUGGUAUGAUCUAGCUUUGAAUCCUUCAUACUGUCCUGAGCUAUUAUGGAAGGUGCAGCCCGUUGAUACAACUUCUGCCUUUUGCCACCCUUGACAAAAAAUUAAACGCUGCUGUUUUGCAUCUUCAGAAAUGUUCGUGCAAAACGAAAGGAAUUGUGUUGUGUAAUUGCAGUCAAGUGCAAGGCAGAAUUAAUAAGGUAUCUCUCAUACUUUGGAGACUACGAGUAAGAUCCAAGGUUCAGUACCUAUCGAUAGAGAGGUGUAAUAUCCUCUGCCCUUAUCAAAGAUCGGGAAGCAUUGCACAGUUCUAGGGAAGGGCAGGGAAUAUCAUCAGUACAAGAACUCUGGUUAUCCCUCAACAGGAAGAGGAUCAUCAUAAAGAGAACCUUAAAACCCAAGUUGCAGAAAAAGCAUCAUGGAACAUAAGAUCUCCUCUACUGAAUAUUUACUUGAUGCACCUGUGCGUUUUGAAAUGGUUGAACUUGUGUUUAUGUUGAGAUUUGAUGCAUGUACGAGAAUUCUAUGGAAUUGUAUGACAAUAGAUGUGAUUUCAUAACUCUACUGUUCAUGUAAGCGACUGGUUUGAUGUGUAUCUUUUGUAUAUGGCAAGU